This 411-nucleotide ribosomal RNA is filed under the name uncultured beta proteobacterium. Its description in RNAcentral is "bacterial SSU rRNA". It matches the Rfam family "Bacterial small subunit ribosomal RNA", at positions 9 to 429 of the family's 1533-position model. Lineage: Bacteria; Pseudomonadati; Pseudomonadota; Betaproteobacteria. The record is from RNAcentral.
GAGUUUGAUCUUGGCUCAGAUUGAACGCUGGCGGCAUGCCUUACACAUGCAAGUCGAACGACGCUAGGGGCAACUCUAGCGAGUGGCGAACGGGUGAGUAAUACAUCGGAACGUGUCCUGUCGUGGGGGAUAACCAGUCGAAAGACUGGCUAAUACCGCAUGACCUCGCAAGAGAAAAGCGGAGGACCGCAAGGCUUCGCGCGAUUGGAGCGGCCGAUGUCGGAUUAGCUAGUUGGCGGGGUAAUGGCCCACCAAGGCGACGAUCCGUAGCUGGUUUGAGAGAACGACCAGCCACACUGGGACUGAGACACGGCCCAGACUCCUACGGGAGGCAGCAGUGGGGAAUUUUGGACAAUGGGGGCAACCCUGAUCCAGCCAUGCCGCGUGUGUGAAGAAGGCCUCGGUUGUAAG